Molecule: ribosomal RNA, 369 nt
Filed under: uncultured phototrophic eukaryote
Lineage: Eukaryota
Description: SSU rRNA
Rfam family: Bacterial small subunit ribosomal RNA
Source: RNAcentral
GACGGAGGAUGCAAGUGUUAUCCGGAAUUAUUGGGCGUAAAGCGUUUGUAGGUGGAAAAAUAAGUCUAUUGUUAAAUCCAGGAGCUCAACUUCUGUACAGCGAUAGAAACUAUUUUUCUUGAGAAUGGUAGGGGUAGAAGGAAUUCCUAGUGUAGCGGUGAAAUGCGUAGAUAUUAGGAAGAACACCAAAGGCGAAGGCAUUCUACUGGGCCACUUCUGACACUGAGAGACGAAAGCUAGGGGAGCGAAUGGGAUUAGAUACCCCAGUAGUCCUAGCUGUAAACGAUGGAUACUAGGGGAUGCACAUUCGAUGUAUGCUCGCAGUUCACACAGUAAGUAUCCCGCCUGGGGAGUACGCUCGCAAGGGUG